AGCAGCAUGGCGCAGUGGUAGCGCGCGGGGCUCAUAACCCUGAGGUCACUCGAUCGAAACGAGUUGCUGCUA
RNAcentral lists this transfer RNA (72 nucleotides) under Galerina marginata CBS 339.88. Its description in RNAcentral is "tRNA-iMet (CAT) (tRNA-iMet-CAT-3-1)". It matches the Rfam family "tRNA". Rfam says of the family: Transfer RNA (tRNA) molecules are approximately 80 nucleotides in length. Their secondary structure includes four short double-helical elements and three loops (D, anti-codon, and T loops). Further hydrogen bonds mediate the characteristic L-shaped molecular structure. tRNAs have two regions of fundamental functional importance: the anti-codon, which is responsible for specific mRNA codon recognition, and the 3' end, to which the tRNAs corresponding amino acid is attached (by aminoacyl-tRNA synthetases). tRNAs cope with the degeneracy of the genetic code in two manners: having more than one tRNA (with a specific anti-codon) for a particular amino acid; and 'wobble' base-pairing, i.e. permitting non-standard base-pairing at the 3rd anti-codon position. Lineage: Eukaryota; Fungi; Basidiomycota; Agaricomycetes; Agaricales; Galerinaceae. The record is from Rfam by way of RNAcentral.